This is a long non-coding RNA of Onychostoma macrolepis, 342 nucleotides long. RefSeq lists it as uncharacterized. The record is from RefSeq and is a predicted model, not a curated record. The transcript has 3 exons. Lineage: Eukaryota; Metazoa; Chordata; Actinopteri; Cypriniformes; Cyprinidae.
CUAUACUUGAGCCCGUGCGUCGCUUUCAGGUGACACAAUGAAAACGAGGGCAUGGAUGCUGUCAUUGGACGGACAAUUUGAAGUUGUUUCUUGCACUCUGGAAUUUACCAAAGGUACUUCUUGGGCAUCAAUCCAGAGACGGCAGAGAGGACAUAUCAACCAGCAAGUCUGUACACUGAUCAGGAAACUCAUUGAGUUCGAAUGGAUGUCAAUCUAGUGUGUAAGCAAUGUUCCAAUGCCAAAAUGGACAAACUCAGCUCUGGCUUUGUGUUAAGCUACAUGUAGUCAUGCAGUAAAAUGAUCACUGAAUGUGUUCUAUAGUGUGUCCUGGUUCAAUGGAGA